CGGCGGCCGUAACUAUAACGGUCCUAAGGUAGCGAAAUUCCUUGUCGGGUAAGUUCCGACCUGCACGAAUGGCGUAACGAUCUCCACACUGUCUCGGCCAGAGACUCGGUGAAAUUGCAGUCGCGGUGAAAAUUCCGUGUACCCGCAGAAAGACGGAAAGACCCUGUGCACCUUUACUAUAGCUUGACAUUGGAUUUUGGGCCUGCAUGUGUAGGAUAGGUGGGAGGCUGUGAACCCUGUACGCCAGUAUGGGGGGAGCCAUCCUUGAAAUACCACCCUUGCAUGUUUAAGAUCCUAACUUCUUCCGGUUAUCCCGGAGAAAGACAGUGUCUGGCGGGUAGUUUGACUGGGGCGGUCGCCUCCUAAAGUGUAACGGAGGCAUGCAAAGGUUCCCUCAGCCUGAUCGGAAACCAGGCGCUGAGUGCAAACGCAUAAGGGAGCUUGACUGUAAGAGAGACAUCUCGAACAGGAACGAAAGUUGGCGUUAGUGAUCCGGUGGUCCCGAAUGGAAGGGCCAUCGCUCAUUGGAUAAAAGGUACGCCGGGGAUAACAGGCUGAUCGCAUCCAAGAGUUCACAUCGACGAUGCGGUUUGGCACCUCGAUGUCGGCUCAUCACAUCCUGGGGCUGAAGCAGGUCCCAAGGGUACGGCUGUUCGCCGUUUAAAGUGGUACGCGAGCUGGGUUUAAAACGUCGUGAGACAGUUUGGUCCCUAUCUUCUGUGGGCGAAGGAGAAUUGAGAGGGCCUGUCCCUAGUACGAGAGGACCGGGAUGGACGCACCCCUGGUGAUCCUGUUGUCGCGCCAGCGGCAUAGCAGGGUAGCUAUGUGCGGAAGGGAUAACCGCUGAAAGCAUCUAAGCGGGAAGCCUGCCUCAAGAUAAGUUCUCCCCUCGAAAGAGCUGAAGGGCCCGGGUAGACUACCCGGUCGAUAGGCUGGAGGUGUAAGCGCGGCGACGUGCUCAGCUGACCAGUACUAAUAGCCCGAGCGGCUUAUUUUU
Molecule: ribosomal RNA, 997 nt
Filed under: human gut metagenome
Description: bacterial LSU rRNA
Rfam family: Bacterial large subunit ribosomal RNA
Source: RNAcentral